This is a long non-coding RNA of Cotesia glomerata, 697 nucleotides long. RefSeq lists it as uncharacterized. Lineage: Eukaryota; Metazoa; Arthropoda; Insecta; Hymenoptera; Braconidae. The transcript has 3 exons. The record is from RefSeq and is a predicted model, not a curated record.
AUCUGCCAAGUAUGAGUUGUACUUAUAGCAAAGAGGCAAUAAAGAAAAGUCAAUAAACUCCCACCCUCACCAUCCAUGAUUAGAACUGCACCGGGACUAUGAACAAAUACAUAGUAUGAGGAACAUAACACAUUCCUCAACGGUUCAGUGUGUCACUAUAGUUAUGUCGCGUGUUUGCACGUAUCCGUCAGACAUAAGCCCUCAACAGUGAACAUAGUAGUAUUAUGUACACACCACAUCAGUGUAGAUUGGUAUAUCAAGUGUUGAAAGCAUUGUGCAUUGGUGCUAGAGUAAAAUGGGGGAGACGCGAAAGUUAGAUUAAACUCAACCGACCCGUUUCCGACAUUGACGCCACAAAUAUUCGAGGGACAUACUGUCAAAUAAAGCCAGGACUACUAUACCAUUCAUAUCAAUUGCUACUACACACUCAUAUAUUGAUCAGUCCAUACUUGUGGACUAAUUGUAGCCGGUUGAAACUCAUUUGAUUGACAGGAUCAUCAAUAAUAUAUGGUAUUUAUUGAUAUACACAUAACACUACUUUAUAUUAAUAAAUACAGUUAUAAUUCAGACGGUAGUGAGUUAACUAGUAGCUAGAAAUUUCAAUAAAAAUUACUAGAGAGUAUAAGACUGCAGGCAAUACGAACGCAUAGUUACUACUGUAUAUAAAUAUUUAGCGUUGUUUUAUUUUUUUGUUUAU